CGGCGCUGGAAGCACGGGGAGGAGGAGCUCUGGAAAUAGAGGGCAGGAGGGUCCCACCCCCCGGAAGGGCCAUGGCCGUACGGCGACCUGGUCGCGCCCACGGAGGAAGUUGCUCCAGGAAGGGCAAAUGGUUGGUGAAGGCUGUGGUUUCAGGGAGCUGAUUUUUCAGCCUGAAAAGGGGACGAACAAUGUCUGUGGUACAUCGUCUGACAGCGGGAUGGCUUGUGGAUCAUCUCUCUUUCAUCAACCAGUGUGGCUAUGAGAUCUGUGACUCCUCUGCACACCCUGGUGGUGUCACUCACAAUACUUCUGUCACAUCUACUGAAGACUGUCACAGUAUUUCUACUUUUGCGGCCACCCCCUCAUCAAGGGACAGUCCUGGAAAUGCCCUAGAAACAGAAGGUAAAAGAGCAAAAAAGAGAUAUGUGUUUCGGGAGGAGUUCUUUGAUAUCUCUAAGCCCCAUAUAGCUGCAGCUCCUGAGGAGCAGCUGUGUCAGGGAUGCUCUGAGGUGAGUCUGACAGACACAAAGGCCAACAGCUACAAAGAGGAAUACCAAGAAGGAGCAAAGAGUGACACUGGAGAUUCUCUUGCCACUGCUAGGAAGAAACGUAAAAGGAAAUGUGUAUUCAACCAAGGUGAACUGGAUGCUUUGGAAUACCAUUCAAAGGUCAGGAAGCUCAUUUGGGAAGGGACUUUGCAUUUAGUCCAAGAGGGACUCAAAAGUGGUUUUCUUCACCGUACGACUGCAAAACUCAGUUGCAGGAAGAAUAAUGUUCCUCAGCACAUUGUCUGUGGCUUGGCUGAAUUAUGUGAAAUGGCAAAGCAGUUUCCAGCUGUGAAUGAAAGUGACCAUCAAGCUGUAUGUGUGCUAGAGGAGGAAACCUCCACUGCAGAGCAGGACCUGCUUUCAUGCGUUAUGGAAAACAGCUCAAACUCUGCAAAGAUAAUUGUGUUAAUGGGGCAGAAAUACUUGGUGCCACCAAAAAGCAGUUUCCUCUUGUCUGAUAUUUCAUGUUUACAGCCCCUGCUGAACUACAAGAAAAAAUAUGAUGUAAUUGUGAUUGAUCCACCAUGGGAGAACAAGUCUGUUAAAAGGAGUAACAGGUACAGCCACUUGUCUUCAUGGCAAAUCAAGCAGAUUCCUGUGCCAGCACUAGCUGCUCCAAAUUGUCUUGUAGUCACGUGGGUGACUAAUAGACAGAAGCACUUACGUUUUGUUAAGGAUGAACUUUAUCCUCACUGGUCAGUGAAAACACUUGCUGAGUGGCACUGGGUAAAAAUUACUACAGCUGGAGAAUUUGUGUUGCCUUUGGAUUCUUUGCACAAAAAACCCUAUGAAGUUCUCAUAUUGGGGAGAGUUCAAGGAGAUGUAAAGGAAGCCUUAAGGAAAUCUGAAGGUGUUCUUCCAAUUCCAGAGCAUCAGUUGAUUGUCAGCAUACCCUGCAGUCUGCAUUCACAUAAACCUCCUCUUGCUGCAGUCCUGACAGAGUUUAUCAAGCCAGAUAUGGAAUGCUUGGAGUUGUUUGCUCGCAACCUACAGCCUGGCUGGACCAGCUGGGGAAAUGAGGUCUUGAAGUUUCAACACAUUGAUUAUUUCACUCUUCUGCAGAAUGAAAACUGAGCAGGGUCUCAGACAUCUAUACCUUCUGAAAUUCCACAUGUUCCCAGGGGACUCUUGAACUUAGCUUUAUUACUGAUGGUGCACCUAAAGAACAGCACAAGAAAUGACAAUGUUGUCUGUUCCACAUCCGCUGCUAUGAACAACUCCAGAUUAUCUGUUUAAUUCCAACUAAAAGAAAGAUGAGCAAUCUUAAGAGAUCAAGAAACUACCUUUCUCCUUGAGCUAAGCAGCAGAAUCCUUCUAAGGGAAUACCCUUCUUUAGGCUUGUUAAGAAUUGAUGACCUUAUUAAUUUGCCUAUUCUGUGGAGUCCCUUUGCAAAUAGUGGCUUUCUAGAAUCCUAGAAUAAUUAAGAUUGGAAAAGACCUCUAAGAUCAAGUCCAGCUGUUAACCUACUAUCACUGUGUUCACCACUAAACUGAAGCAGCUGAGCAGCUACUUCCAGCACCUGGGAAUCCAGCCUCCUAAGUACGGCUUGUAUGUAGAGGACUUGUGCAGGCAGAGUCUAAGCUUCUCAGGCUAAGUCAAACGUUGAAGAUUGGAACUUGUGUCAUACCUGAUCUUUUCCUAAAUAGUUACAAAAUUGUGCCUUGGACACCUGUUUGCUGCUCUGGCCAUGAAGAAUAUGACAGAAGUGGUGUUCCAUAUCUGCAGCCAACCUGGAACCAUUGCAUUUUCUCAGGAGAAGAAAGCCCGUUGCUAACUUGGAAAUCUCAUGGUGGUAUUAGCAGUUGAUAGUUUGAAUUGAUAGGAUCAUCUAGGGUCAUCUUUUGAACAUAAUUAUUUGCCUGUUACGCUGAAUUAAUAGUUUGAAUAGCCCCUUACACUUUUCCAGUUCUCCAAGACCCCAGCUGUUCCUAACCAGCCAUCAGAUUGUUCAGUGUCUGUCAAAAGAUUCUUCUGAGGCAGAAUCUGCAGCAUACUCAAAGAUCAGCGAUGAGUGAAACCAGCUAAUAUAACAAGAAAAUUUAAGAUCUGGUUUCCUUUUAUGUUAUAUAUGUCAAUUGCUCAGAGGGAAGAAUGCUCUCUUGUUGUGUCAAGCCUUGUAUAAAAAAGCAAACUUGCUCUGAAGAGUUUACAAAGUUGGUAAGAAAUGAAAGAAAAAGGGAGAAGAUAAGGAUGGAGGAAUACAAGAUGGUAAUGAGAUGUUAAAGGUGUAUUUAAUAAGUAUGAGCCUAGGUAUUGUGCACAUCUUCAGUGUUCCUAAGGAAUUGUAAGGUUGUUUCCCCUCUUUUAAAUGGGAUUUUCUUCUUUUGUAUUCUUGUAUCACACAUUCAAAUAAAAAAUAGGUUAAGUGUGUAUUUUACUUACAUUAACAAAAUAAAAGGGUUUUUUAAGCUAUAAAUUCUUGUGGCAGCUUGGAGAAGUGACAACUGUGAUUAGUCAAGAAUUUUCAGAAAGCAUGUUUGGUACAUCUGUUGUUUUAGCAGGACAAUGAUAAAAGUUUCUUUGGCUAGGUGUUCUCUACUAUUUAAAGCCUUUUAAAAUUAUGUCUUAUUGCAAAAAACACUCAGUUACAUUACAAAAAGAAGUAAUUUUAAGCUUUUUCUAUAUGAAGAGUACAUCAAGUAUCAUAAUCAAACUUUUAUGAAUCUUCAGGUUUGAGUGUGAUUUUGAAAUGUCAAAUUAGCAUAUGACCUUUACUUGUAUUUUUAAACUUCUGUGAAGUAAAAAGAAUUAUACCAGUAAGAUGUAUUUUUGGAAUAAUGAUUGCUAGGCAUGUACUCCUGUGGAAACAGCAAAACUUCUUCUGCAAGAUUAAACAUUAUUAAAGAAGUGAGGUACGUGAGGAGGUCGUACCUCUUCAUAGCAUUCAGCUUGGAUAUGUGUCAGCAGCAGCAAAGAGUUGACUUUUAAAAAUAGAUUUCCAAAUUACGUAAACAACUAUAAAUUACAGGAGAUAAAUACCUUGAUAAUUGCAUUCAUUAGCUUCAACAUACCAAUAAAGACUUGCCUACUGCUUUGUUUGGAUUGGACAUAAGAGGAAGAGAAUGGAAAGUGUCUGGAGAAUACCAAGGGGUAUGAGGUAUUUUCCAGUUGCUGAAAGAAAUCUUGGUCCCAGCUGGCAGGUUUUUUCACAGAAUCAUAGAAUAGUUUGAUUUGGAAGGAUCUUUACAGGUCAUCUAGUCCAACUUCCCUGCAAUGAGGGACAUCUUCAUCUGGAUCAGGUUGCCAGGAGCCCUGUACCCAGCCCUACCUGACCUUGAAUGUUUUCAUGGGUCUGCCAGUUUUUAGUGGAGAGAAUUGUAUAUGUGCAUAUGUGUGUGCAGCCAAGCUGACCUCUUGGAGCAGUGUGAACCAGUGGUAUACAGUGCUUUGAAUAACAACGAUAUUUGCAUUGCUAGAAAUUUAAUAUCACCAUAUUUUUAUUGUCAGUGUCCUAAUGUUACCAGUUUGUGGGGAAAAGGUACUAUUUAUUUGGUUACAGAUGCCCCAAUACCAUACAUGUUUUGAAAGCUUUCCUGGGGACUGUUUAAUGGAUGUAUUUUUGCUUGGUAAUCUUCUGGAAGCAUCACAUUGGCACUGAUGAGUGAACAGCACAGCAGCUGCCAAGGUGUUCCCGUGACCCUGGCCACAUCUCAGAAGCAUGGGAAGCCUGCAGGGGGUUGGGUGUGGUUCCAUGGGUUCUUUGGCUGCCUCAAUGUGCCUUAACAUCACUAAAAUGACAUCAGAGCUGUUCUAGUGAGUCUUGGUUCCUUUGCUGGGCCUGGCUAUGAUGAUUUUAAUUCCUGGCAUAAAGGAGUUGAGGUUAUCACCUUAUCAGGGUUGUUCUUCAAGUAGCCUGAAAAUUUUCUAAAGUUGCUUUUUACUUGUGAACAUUUUUUAUUCAACCUGCUGA
RNA transcript from Passer montanus (Eurasian tree sparrow), 4459 nucleotides. It is a transcript of the gene named methyltransferase like 4, with no coding region annotated. The transcript is spliced from 10 exons. Lineage: Eukaryota; Metazoa; Chordata; Aves; Passeriformes; Passeridae. The record is from RefSeq and is a predicted model, not a curated record.